This is a long non-coding RNA of Aedes albopictus (Asian tiger mosquito), 24604 nucleotides long. RefSeq lists it as uncharacterized. The transcript is spliced from 2 exons. NCBI's taxonomy places the organism in Eukaryota, Metazoa, Arthropoda, Insecta, Diptera, Culicidae. The record is from RefSeq and is a predicted model, not a curated record.
UUUAAAUCACAUGUGAAGAAAAAAAAUAUGUGGAUACCUAUUUCAAAUCACAGCUGAGCCUAGCUAGCAGAAGCAUGGAAACCGCCACCCGAUAGGGCGGCUGGUAUAUGUAAUGGAUUCAUUGCAAAACAUGCGUGUACAUUAGGUUGGCCAUCCAAAUUCUAAACCAUUUGGAUUCCGAUGCCCACCGGCGAUAAUGAGUGCGGGCAAGGUAAUGGCGAGCUAAUGCGAGCAAUAUGCUUCGAACAAUAAUUGGGUGAGUUCAUGAAUGUUUUUCGCAGCAAGUGCGUCAGCGUAACGCACUUUUCUUGUUCGAUUGCUGUUUUAUUUCAUGUUUUAGUUAAAUAAUAUCUGGCUGAACUUGGUAAACUAAUGACCCAAUUACUUUUAUUGCCCGCGGUGUACAAGAAGCGUCUACUGACGCUACUAUCUAGUACCUCCCACAAACGCCAUGAUGGUUUAUAAUGGAACGCGCAUUUUUAUUUUUUUGAAAACGCAUUUGGAAAUACAAUUAGACUGUUGCUUGCCUUAAAACUACACCUGAUUGUCGAAUAUAUUAAUAAUAUCAUUAUUAAUGUAUGUACUGCAGUCUUCUUCUUUAUGGCUCUACGUCCCCACUGGGACGCUUCAAGUUAAUGUUCUUGGAGCACUACCACAUUUAUUAAUUGAAGGGCUUUCCUUGCCUGCCAUUGCAUAAAUAUGUAUAUUGUGAGGCAAGCACGAUGAUACUUACACUAUGCCCAGGCAGUCGAGAAAAAAUUCCCGACCGGAACCCGACCGGAAUCGAACCCGCCGUCUCCGGAUUGGCGAUCCAUAGCCUUAAACCAAAAUAUGCAGGGAUAAAGACGGAGGCCUCUUGACGGAUGGACGUGAGGUGAUCGAAAGGUGGAAGCAGCACUUCGAUCAGCACCUAAACGGCGUGGAGAACGUAGGCACGGGAGCCCACGGCAACGGAAGAAACAACGACGCCACACAGUGGGAUCAUUCUGAAAAAAGACGAUCAAAACCUCUAAGAGCCGUUAGAUGGCAUUUUAGCAUAUAGGUGUCUUUGGAAGAUAUAUUUAGAAAAAUCUUCUCUAUUUUUAUGCAUAUUCACUGUAUGGUAAAACUGUAGGGUGAACCCGAGCAAAAAAUAUUUUUUCAAAAUAAUUUUUUAGAGGCUAGAUGUCUUCAGCAAAGUUGUAGAACAAGUAAUUUCAAGUAACUUUUCUGAAGACACCAUAUAGCUUGGACUUUAUUUUUAGGGAGAAAAUAUGAAGGUUUAAAAAACAACCUCAAAAUCAGUUUUUUGUACUUUUCCAUGAUUAUAUCGUAAAAUUUCAAGGUGAUAUGUUCUACAAGUUUGUAGGUACUACUGGAAUACACUAUCUUGCCGAAGACACCAACUCUGUAAAAUUGAAAAUUGCUCCAGUAAACCAAUUUUUUUGAAUUUUUUUUCACUUUUUUCACUAUUGAAUAUUUUUUGAAUAGGCACUUUUUGGCAACCGUGCUAUCAAAAUUUCAAUGCUUUAUCAUGUCCAGAAUAGACCAAAAGUGACUUAACAAUCGGGUAUGAAAAGGCACUUUGAUUUCUGAUGCUAUUUCAAUAGUCAUUUUUCAAAGAAAAUAUUCACAAAUUUCAUACAAAUCAUUUAAUACAAACUGAAAACUCACGAAAACCUUUCGACAUUAAUAUUUGUUAAUCAAAAUAGUAUUCUUGUUGAAAUAGUCUACAUUUUUAACACUGUGGUUGACUUUACAUUGAACACCCGAUAAAAAAUAUCGUUUUUUAAAUUUUUAGAUGAGUUAAAAACUCACUACUGAAUAUUUUUGAGUAGGCACUUUUUGGCAGCCGUGCUGUAAAAAUUUCUAUGGUUCAUUAUGUCCAGAAUAGACCAAAAUUGACUUAACAAUCGGGUCUGAUAAGGCACUUUGAUAUCCGAAGCUAUUUUAAUAGUAAUUUUCAAAGAAAAUAUUCACAAAUCUCAUAAAACCUUUCGAUAUUAUUUUUAGCACAUCCAAGUAGUACUUCUGAAUAAAAAAAAGCAAGUUAAAUAAAUAGUCUUCAACUGUUAGUGUCAUUUAUUUUGAACUACAAAUUUUGAAAGAGGCAAAAGCAAACAUAGCAAAUAAAAAAAUGUUAUCAUUGUUAUAGUUGAUUGAUUAAUGUAUGUAACAUAAACAAAUGCAUUGGGAAUUACAAUAAAAAUUAUAUAAAAAACACAGUUUUUAAUUGGUGUUAAAAACUUAUUCAAUGUAAAGUCAACCACAGUGUUAGAAAUGUAGACUAUUUCAACAAGAGUACUAUUUGGAUUAACAAAUAUUAAUGUCGAAAAGUUUUCGUGAGUUUUCAGUUUGUAUUAAUUGAUUUGUAUGAAAUUUGUGAAUAUUUUCUUUGAAAAAUGACUAUUGAAAUAGCAUCAGAAAUCAAAGUGCCUUAUCAGACCCGAUUGUUAAGUCACUUUUGGUCUAUUCUGGACAUGAUAAAGCAUUGAAAUUUUGAUAGCACGGCUGCCAAAAAGUGCCUAUUCAAAAAAUAUUCAAUAGUGAAAAUAGUGAAAAAAAAUUCAAAAAAUUGGUUUACUGGAGCAAUUUUCAAUUUUACAGAGUUGGUGUCUUCGGCAAGAUAGUGUAUUCCAGUAGUACCUACAAACUUGUAGAACAUAUCACGUUGAAAUUUUACGCUAUAAUCAUGGAAAAGUUCAAAAAAAUGAUUUUGAGGUUGUUUUUUAAACCUUCAUAUUUUCUCCCAAAAAAUGAAGUCCAAACUAUAUGAUGUCUUCAGCAAAGAUACUUAAAAUUACUUGUUCUACAACUUUGCUGAAGACAUCUACCCUCUAAAAAAAUAUUUUGAAAAAAUAUUUUUUUGCUCGGGUUCACCCUACAGUUUUACCAUACAGUGAAUAUGCAUAAAAAUAGAGAAGAUUUUUCUGAGCAUAUCUUCCAAAGACACCUAUAUGCUAAAAUGUCAACUAACGGCUCUUAGAGGUUUUGAUCGUCUUUUUUCAGAAUGAUCCCACUGUGCGCCAGUGCAGCGGAGGACGGAAAUGAACCAACCCCCACGCUGAGGGAAGUUAAGGAUGCCAUUCACCAGCUGAAAACAAACAAAGCAGCUGGCAAUGAUGGUAUCGCAGUUGAACUCAUCAAGAUGGGCCCAGAAAAGAUGGUCACCUGUCUGCACCGGUUGAUAGUCAGGAUAUGGGAAACCGAACAGCUACCGGAGAAGUGGAAGGGAGAGAUAAUCUUCCCAUUUACAAGAAAGGUGACCAUUUAGAAUGUGAGAACUUCAGAGCGAUCACUAUUUUGAAUGCUGCCUGCAAAGUGCUAUCCAAGAUCAUCACCUAAAACGAAUGUAUUCGUGGGAAGUUAUCAAGCCGGCUUCAUAGAUGGCCGGUCGACAACGGACCAGAUCUUCACCAUACGGCAAAUCCUCCAGAAUGCCGUGAAUACCAGGUCCCAACGAAUCACCUGUUCGUCGACUUCAAAGUGGAAUCAGGGUACGAAAAACGGAUCACGCCGAAAAACAAACGCUUUGUCCUAAGCGGUGCAUGUUGGUAACAAAGGCGCUCCGCAACAAACGUAUGUCAGGCGAUGAGAGCAAUAAAACAAACAUCGCUUGCCGUGCGUGUUCUGAUAUUCCGGCUUUUCUGCUGAAAUUUUCGACCCACAUUAUCGAUUUCAUAAGCAUUUGGACGAAAUAAGACUCUUGCAAACCUCAGAGUCGAGUUUCAGUUGUAAAACAAUGCGAAAAUCCCGAUGUGAAUAGAACGAGACAAAUAUUCCUACCCUUUUUGUUGUGAACAAACUCGGGAGCGAUUUUGUCAUUAUCUGCUAACGAAAAAACAAAGCGUUGUUGCCGUGCCUUCCUUGUUGCCUAUUUUUUCGCUUGCUGUGGCAUAUUCUGCGUACACUGAGUGGAAUACGACAGUAUCGACCGCACAGAGCUAUGGAAAACCAUGGGACGAAAUCGGCUUUCCUGGGAAGCUGACUAGAUUGAUUAAAGCAAUGAUGAACGGUGUGCAAAACUGCGCAAGAGUGUUGGGUAAACUAUCCAGUUUAUUCGAAUCUCGCCAGGGACUGCGACAAGGUGACGCACACUCAUGCCUACUCUUUAAUAUCGCCCUGGAAAGUCUAAUGUGAUGAGCCGCGCUCAACAGCCGUGGUACGAUUUUCACAAAAUCCAGUCGCCAGAACUACUAACGACUAAUAAGAAUGUGAGUCGUGAAUUCGAAGGCGCAUCAUCAGUGGAAGUCGUGCCUAUUCAGGGCUCCAGAAGAAACUGUGGUCAACAAAGAUUCACCCACGCACCAAAUGCAAAUGAACAGAACCUUUAUAAGGCCUAUAGGCCAUAUAUGUGGUGGUCCUGACACGAGACUUGGACCAAGCCAGGAGAACGGCGUUUGGCGGCGAAGGACGAACCACGAGCUCGCUGCACUUUACGGUGAACCCUGCAUCGAAAAAGUGGUCAAAGCCGGUGUUCAUGGCAUGUUGCCGGACAACAACCCUGCAAAGGUGGUGUUCCCUACUGACACGAGAAGGUGUGUUGAACAAUCACAAUAGUGUACAGGUCGGACUCGAUUUUCCGGGUGAAUCCAAAAUUAGUUCACCCCGGAUAAUCGAAUCACCCGGAUAAUCUAGCCAUGCUUGUUUUGUGUUAUUUUUGAUGUUCUUCAAUCAAAAACUGUUCCUUUAACAUAGAAGCUAACAUACAUGACGUUGUAGUGCCUAAACUUAACGUCUGGUAUUAUUAUAACCAUGUUUUUUGAAAAUGAAAUUUUAGCUGAAAAAUGUGAAAAAAUAAAAACAAUUUUCAAAUCUAAAUCUUAUUUACAGGUGUUGUCUUUGAUGUUCAUCUCAUUUUUUGACAUAUUGCAAUCUAAAAAUUUGUAAACAAAGCAAAAACAAAUUUUUACCCGGAUAAUCGAGCCAUUUUUGCCGGAUAAUCGAGCCCCGGAUAAUCUGGCCCCCGGUUAAUUGAAUCCCCGGAAAAUCGAGUCCGACCUGUAUAAAUCUGGUAUUAAGGCAGGAUGAGACGGUAGUUUAAACGUGCUAAAAACAGUUUAAACACACAAAAACACAAAAUUAUGCAAGAUCUCGAUAAUUCGAUAAUAGAAGUCACCUUUCUUAGCUCCACACUGCCGUGAAUCGCAAGUCAGUCCCAUCUGCAUUUUGGACAAAAAUGAGUUAAUGGCCGUUUUCGACCUUUCUUGGGAUGAUCUUUCAGCUGCGUCCCAUAAUGAAAUGUAAUCGCAAGUUAGUCCCAUUACGAACUUGUGUACCCUGCAAUACAAAACUUAACACUGUUUUAGCCAGUUUUAUAUUUUUCACUGUUACGUUUUCACGUUUGAAACAAUGUGUGAAAGUUUCAUGAUGAUCGCAGAAGUUUUCAAUUCAUGGCGUUUUUUUUAAGUUUCACAUAGAAAUCGAAUUUGAAAACUUUAGAGUCCAUUUUCUCAAUGCCUACUUUUUGCAGAUGGGACUCUUGCGAUUCACGGCAGCACAGGUCUAACAUAAUAAUCUCGAGGCCAAGAAGCCGUCGAAGAGCUCGAACGCUUGUGUAGUAUCCAGAAAUCUACUACCUCCUGCUUCACCCCUAAAAGUAUUCUAAAAGCCAUUCGGCCAUCAUUUCAAACAGGUCCAAAAUAAAAACAACGGAUUCGUCAUCGCAACUGGUCAUAUUUGCAAAUUAGGCAAUUUCCGAGUUUCCAAUUCCGAUAUUACAAACAGCUGAUCCAAAUGGUCAUGAAUGAGUAUGUGUGUCGCAUGGCCGCUUUCAGACCAUGCGGAAGAAUGCGUCUGGUUUGAUGAUCGUUUGGUUUAUACGAUGCGAUGGUUCCCGCUAACUAAUGAGGUGCGUACGGGUAACGACGUUGGUCAACCUCGACCAUGUAACCGAAAAAAAAGUUUCACAAGCACACAUUAGCGGUAUAGAAAUCACACCAAAUUACUUAUGAAUUAUUAAUCCCCGAGUUGUGGAUGACGGUAUCGAAGAAACCGGUAGAGAGGUGAUCAAUACCAAUGGCCCUGACGAUCCGUCUAGUUUAUCAUUUGUAUAGGAAAUAUUAGUGUCAGAAUUUUAAACGACGGCCUACUUCGACUUCUUCACGGGUAAUACCCAAAACAGAACUGACCUACCCUAACCGGGGUGAACAAUCAUAGGUAUUCUGAAUAAAUUAGUUGCUGGUAUUGUUUACCGGAAGCGAUUAUCGAUAGGAAUUGCGGUUUUCUAAACAAUUUAGUAGACGAUGUAUUAACAUUUUUGUGGGUAUACCAACCGAUCUAACUUAUAGACCCAAUAAUAUUUUUGUUUAUUGUAAGCUGUUUGUAAACAAAUCAAUUCGGAAACCCUAAAGGUCACGCAUUGAGGUGUUUUUCUGAAUAUAAAUCCAUAAAGAUAGUAAAUAUGCUGAAAAUUAGCAAUUGAAAAUGCUUGGAAAGUCCUGUUUAUUGUUUGGUUCUGUUUAUCCCCAAAGUAUACUACUAGCUUAAGUAAACAUGUACACACUUAAAUUAAAUCGCCGCCCUCAGUAAGCAGAUUGCCGAGAAUCCAACAGCCGAGAAUCCAGUGAUUAUUUUCACUGAAUCUCGGUAAAAGUUUUUCCGAGAUGUCGUUAAAACUUUGCCGAUAUCUUGGUAAUCCAACUUUUUACCGAGAUCUCGGCAAAGUUCACCGAAACUCGGUAAUGGUUUACCGAAAUCUCGGUAAAAACUUUUCCGAGAAUCAGUUAAUACUUUACCGAGAUAUCAGCUGUUGGAUUCUCGGCAAACCGUUUACCGAGAUCAAUUUCUGAAUUUAAGUGUGUAAACCAACCUGUACAUGUCCAACCUUCGGUACCGUCUUACCCCUCUGGUUCGACACGUUUUAAUACGACACUUUUUAAUUCGUACCCCGCUUAUACGACACAUGUCGAAUGAAAAAGUGUUCAAAUGUCACAGCGAUGUACACUGUAAAUGCAAAACAGUUUGAUAUUGCGCUUAUACUCGCAUCCGCAGAAACUCCUCUUGCAGCCGCAAAUUUCGGAAGCUCUGAGUUGGUGCUAUUCAACACCCAAACCGCCUGGAGACCAACCGGAAUGAACUGAGGAUGGCAACAAUCGUAGAAAGAAUGAGCUUUUCAUUCGCGCCACCGCAAUAUUUGGUGAAAUUAUGUUUCAUAACAAAUCCGGAAAUCAAAACAAAAACAAAAAUAGAGUUGCCAAAUUUCAAUGAGCAUGGUGGUGUAGGGUGACCAGUUUGUCGAAUUAAAAGUUUACCCCGGUUAUACGACAACAGUCGGUGUCGUAUUAGCGGGGUAAUACGGUAGUUUCAUUCAACCAAACGGAUACAAUAUCGAGAUGACCACAAAUUGGGUUCAUCAGUCUCCACUACUGCUCAGAUGGAUAACUGUGCUUAUGCAAUAAAUAAUGACACGGUUCAUUUGUUAUAAAAUUAAGCCAAAACUGGUGCAAAUGUAGGAAAAUCCAUUUCCCACAAAGAAAGUAUUGGCAUUAACGCAUACAUGUACGUACAAUACCACAACCGCAUGCACCAUCCAUGCAUGCAGGCUCUCGGAGAUCGCACCACCAUCAUCGAAAGCCCAGAAGAAAACUUUGAAUUUUAGCUCACAGUGCUACUUUCGGCGGGCCAGCUUCAAAUUUCUAUAAUUGAACCCCACACUUUUGCUCGCCAAUCACCGGCUAUCGAAAUCAAAUUGUUAGGAGCCGCGGCAGAAAAAGCGAAAUAAAAUUUUAGAAAGUUUACCAAUCGCCACCCUUUUGAGGCACACUGCAACACAGUUGUUCGAGGUUGAUACAUACCCCACCUCCGAAAAUGGCUCUCGCAGAAGUGCUUGACGCCGUCGAUGUUAAGUCAAUCUGUCUAGCAUUUGCCGAGCGUUCGAGUUCGUUUUCUAAUAGAUUGGCUGCAUCAGACAUCGAUGUCGAUAGUACCAAUAGGACAGAUCGGUGAAGUACUAGAUUUGUAGUAAUGAGCUGAAUUUUAGUAUGGUGAGAAGGUCAAUUCUCCGUUUCUGCAAUGAAAUGGUGCAAAAAGCGUGGGUAUUAUGAUUCCUUGCCUAAUUUGAUGCUGUUUGAGCAAAACUUUGUGAAAGUGUUGUUGUUUCCUCAAUUUCUUUCAACAUAAACAACAUAGUUAUCCAAAGUUUUGCUCAAACAGCCUCAAAUUAGGUAAAUAAUCAAAAUACCCACGCUUUUUGUACCAUUUCAUUGCAGAAACAGAGAAUUGACCUUCUCACCAUACUAAAAUUCAGCUCAUUACUAUAAAUCUAGUACUACACCGAACGUGCCCCAUUUUUGGAAUGCAGUGAGAUAGGUAUAGUAUCUACUCGUGUACAACAUUUCAAGUCAAUUGGUUCAAAAUUGACUGAGUUAUAGUGAAAAACAGACGAAUAUAGAAGCCACCGCCCAAGUGGCGCGAUACCCUAGGAAACAAUCGGUGAAGUACUAGAAUUGAAGUAAGACAGAUGGACCGCGAGCGGCGUUUCGGGUCCUGGUCGACGCUGUUUCGGAGCGCGGGCAUCAUCGUGUGUCGAAAAUCUCGGUGCCAACGAAUAAAACAUCUUUGGGACUACAUUCGCCCGAAGUUGGAAGCAACUGUCGGGAGGAAUCUUUGUUUCGGAGAUCUCCAGGUACCGGUGAUGCACAAUACGAGCAGGAACAACAUGCAGAAAGCUCUGAAAAUGUUUAUAAAGAACUUGAUAAAGUAUUUAGAGACCACCCAAUUUUAGAAGCAAACAACUCUAUGUCAUUCUCUUAAUACUAAAAUUCAGCUCAUUACUACAAAUCUAGUACUUCACCGAUCUGUCCUAUUAUACACAACAGGUGACAGAGUAUUGUUACUGAUCCUUACUUUGCAUGCAUCGCUCCUGUAUGGUGUGUGUGUGUGAGUAUCGCAGCAGAAUCGAUCACGUCCGUCUCAGUAAAAUUUAGAGACCACCCAACGUGGGUGAUCGAUUGUUUGCUUUCCGCGUGAAGCGAACAGUAACGCGGUAUUCUGAAUGGCAAUAUAAAUCAAAAGCUCAUAUCACUUAUCAAAAUGAAUCCUGGCCCAACGAUACCUUCCCUACUAACGAAUAACCCUUCCUGCAGCCUUUGGUGAUGACAUGAAGGUAAACGCCUAGCUGAUAAGCUAUGUAAGAAGUUUACCCAAAUUGAAGUGUUUUUUGGGUUGUUAAUAGGGUAUCGCGCCACUUGGGCGGUGGUUCUAUAUUCGUCUGUUUGCCACUAUAACUCAGUCAAUUUUGAACCAAUUGACUUGAAAUGUUGUACUCGGGUAGAUACUAUACCUAUCUCACCACAUUCCAAAAGUUGUGCCAAUUGGUUCAAAUUUGACUGAGUUAUAGUGGAAAACAGACGAAUAUAGAACCACCGCCCAAGUGGCGCGAUUCCCUAUUGGAAAUAAAUGGGUGUUGAAUGUUCUAUGGUUGACACAAUAAGAAAGCAAGAACCAGUUUGCCGUGUCUAUUUAUUUUUCUGGUCUUUGAACCUAACAAUAGCUAGCACACUUCAAUGAACUAUUGAUAGCAUUCGUUUCGAGGGUGGUAUUCGUCAUAGUUGGUACUAAUAAUCCAUCCCUCUUCCAACCUGAUUACAAGAACGUAGCUGGUGCCGUUAUUGUACUACUAAAGAGAGCCUCUCUCACGGUUAUCUUGGAAAGGUUGGAAAGGAACAGCAGCACGGCCAUCGUAUCGAGUUAUCCUUCGUGACUUGCUAUCACGAAAGUGUAUGAUGAGUUUUCGGGAACUGACGAAUUUCCGGUUCGUCCGAGAUUUCGCCUGUCUUAAUCUGAGGAAUCACAAACUCGAUCAUUUCGUUCGUAACUACCCAGCCAGUAAGAAGUGUGCGUGUGUGUAUUUUACUCGUGUGUAAUCCUACGAAGUCGGUGAGUCAACUCAAAUAUCCUUUUUGCGUGGAGCGGGGCGUCCUUAUUUUAUUUAUUUAUUUAUUUAUUUAUAUCAUUUAUUAAUAAGUAACUUAAGACAUAUUGUCUUUUUAAAUGUUACAAUCAAUUCAUCGAUAGAAGAAGUGCCGCCCAUUAUUGUCUUAUUGUAAACAGUGAACUUCAUUUUAAAUUACUAUUUUAACCCCAGUGCUCUAUACAUUUCUUUCUUAAAACUGCCCCGUAAUAAUUAGCGUCAAAUCAUUAGGCAAAGAAUUCCAAGUUGAAACACCCCUUACGAAAAAGCUAUUGCCGAAUUUAGUGGUAUGAUGUCUUGGUAUCGCGAAUUUUUUCGACCUUGCGCUACUAAUCUAAUCUAAUCUAAUACAAACGCAGCCAGUACGAGAAAGCAUCCUGGAAAGUAAUCAGGUUAGAUUAAGCCCAAUUACUUUUCUUGUCAAUAUUGAGGCUUGCAAAAUAUCAGGGAUAUGAUGCAAGCGUCAAAGCGGCCAGGCCUACUGCGUUGUAUUUGCCGCAAAGAUGAUUCUUGGAAUUGUCUCGAGUUUAAACGAUAGUUUUUCGUCGAAGCAAUUCUAGAAUCUACAGGGGAGGAAGGAUGCGUGGACAUACCGUACCAAACGCUCCAAUGGGUUAGAUAUGGUUAAAUGAAUAUAUGAAUGUGUAAAUAAUGUAAUUAAAUACAGUCGGAACCCGCUCGUUGAGCCACAACCUCCACCCAACCAACGAAUUCGAUUCGCUAGUUGGGUGAAGUGACAGCAGCACAAGGGGCGUGCGCAUUGUUUUUUUUUUUAAUCAUUUUUAGGUUGGAAGCAAAAAGCAAAAUUUUUCAAUUUGUUUCACAUUUAGAGCAAAACUGAUACGUUUUGCAAGAUACAUAUAUGGCCAAUGCUAGGGGCAGGACAGAUCUAACGAGAGCAAAUCUGUGUUCGAGGUGUUGUUCAGAAUUCCUCACAGUUCCUCAGAAUUUCUCCCGUUUAUGCCAAAGUGUGAUCUGGCACCAAUGUCAAACCGCAAAGUGUUGCGUGUGCUGAAUGAAAAUUGCAGUUUUAGGGAUGUCUUUUAACAAAUUUCGUCGAUCAACGAUGAAAAGAGUAACUCAGAAUCCCUCAGAGUUACUCUCGUUUGCACAGUGUCUUGCCCCUAGGGCCAAUGCGAGAAAUAAUUAUUUUCACCCAUUUUUAGUCGGUGAAGUGAAAAUAUAGACCCGGACCAAAAGCAAGCACAAAACGCUUUUAAUGAUCGACAAAAUAAAGAUUACCGAUGUUUUGCAUUUAUUUCGAAGUAAUUGUACAUAUUCUUUUUUUUUUUAAGAAAUAUGAAAUAGAAAUUCUUUUCGAUUAUCAUUAAAGUUUAAGAAACCAAAAACUCAUUAGCUCGCCCCUCGGAAUUACAGAUUGGUUGUCAUUUUCAGUUUGACAUUGAAUUAUGACAUCCAGGUACUUUUUAGUUGGCUGACAGCUCAACUAACGGGGCCCCAACUAAAAAGUCACCCAACUAUUAAGCCCCCAACCAGCGAGUCAUGACUGUAUGUUGAUAUGAUGAAUAUUGGAAAGCUCUCACCCAUCUGGUUUGUGCGGUCCGAAAACAAUAAUAAUCCAAUGCAAUGAAAUUAUGCUCCUCGCGAGACCGCAAGACAGGACACUGAACUUCGUUAACAGCGAGAUCCGGUACUUCCAACUUCCAUUAACGUAACGCGAACCACUUUCCAGAUACUUUUUAAAAACGCGCAUUCUCUUGGCUCCGACUAAUUUUACGUCGCGAAACUGUGUCACUUUCUGGAUGGCGUAGUCCGGCUUUUAUGCUACGAGCGGAAUCGCAAAAGCACACAAUUUUGUAGAAAUCUCCACCACAGUGCACUGGAGAAUGGUGCCUCAAAUUCGUGCUCCCCGUUUUGGAGUGCGCUACACCUUAUUUUUUUUUUUCAAUUAAUAUCUUUAAUUAUCACUUUUCACUUUAAAACAUUCAGUCAAAAUUGAAAUUUUGAAAACGGCAGUAUCGGAACGCAAAAAACGUGACAAGCAGAGGAAACACGUCCGUUCGUGGCAAAGCCUACUACGAUUCUCGAAUUUUUUCGACCUUGCGCUACGUAAACAAUUUAAUUUUGUAUAUAAAUAUUUAUAUAUUCAGGCUUCUUUAUGCUAGCAAGUUUAAAAACUAGUUGACAGCAACGCAGUUUACAAAAGUUCUCGAAUGAACAACCUAAUAGUCGUGGUUAAAGAUGUGAAACAUGACUAAAACGUGAAAGUUUAAAAACAUAUCUAACACAAGCGUUUAAAGCAACCUUCACGCGAUUUAAAGUAUCUGCUGAGACCUGCAUUAACAAAAAAUCACAUGCGAUAAAAUACGGUAAAAAAAGAGUUUUGAACAACUUAAUCUUAGUGUUCGUAGGCAACAGAGAAGCAGUAAGCUGUAACGAACGAAGUUUUCCAUAAAUUUUACCACAUUGUUGCAACACAAAUUUGUCCCAUUCUAAGUUUGAUUGGAUAACAUAGCCCAAGCUAGUGGCAGAAUAGGGCACGUUCAGUGUAGUACUAGAUUUGUAGUAAUGAGCUGAAUUUUAGUAUGGUGAGAAGGUCAGUUCUCUGUUUUUGCAAUGAAAUGGUACAAAUAGCGAGGGUAUUAUGUUUCCUUGCCUAAUUUGAUGCAGUAUGAGCAAAACUUUGGAUAACUAUAUUGUUUAUGUUGCAAGAAAUGAUGAAAAAAACAAAACUGUUGCCCAAAGUUUUGCUCAAACAGCAUCAAAUUAGGCAAGGAAUCAUAAUACCCACACUUUUUGCACCAUUUCAUUGCCGAAACGGAGAAUUGACAUUCUCACCAUACUAAAAUUCAGCUCAUUACUACAAAUCUAGUACUUCACCGAUCUGUCCUAUUAAUAUAGCUUAUUCGAUUGCCAUCGAUCAUAAUCGUAGGUCUGAGGGUAUCAUUUCUAUUGGAUAUGAACAUAGCAUGAGUUUUGUUGACAUUUAGGGCUAGGGUAUUUUCCACUGCCCAGCUAAACACCCUUUUCAAAUCAGCGUUGAUUUUCGUAGAAACAUUAUCAGCGUCUCCGAGAAUACAUUCUAUAUACAGCUGUACAUCAUCAGCAAAUACUUGAAUUUUCCAGUAUUAAAGGACAUUAGGAAGAUCAUUAACGUACAAAGAAAAAAGGAUGGGUCCUAAAAUUGAUCCUUGCGGAACACCAGAUAUUAUAGGUAAAAAGUUGGAAUAUUCUCCGUUGUUGUACACAGUUUGAACACGCCCUUGGAGAUAUGAUUUAAUCAAUGACACAGAGUCACUCGAGAAGCCAAAAUUGUUCAGCAACUUUCUACAUAACACACUGUGCGAUAUUCUAUCAAACGCCUUCGAAAAAUCAAGAAGCAAAAGGACAGCUGAAUUACCUUGAUCAAGAAUAUAUCCAAUAUCAUCUAAAAUUUUUAGCAUAACUGUUUUUGUACUAUGGUUGGGUCUAUAUCCAGAUUGAAACUGAAUUAAAAGAUUGUUGUCGGUAAUGUAAUUGCAAAUUUGCUUUUUCAAAAUUUUCUCAAAUACUUUGGAUAAACUAGGUAAAAUACUUAUAGGCCGUAAGUUUUCGAGUGAAUCGUUUCUAGGUUUCUUCUGCACCGGAAUAAUUUUUGCCAUUUUCCAUGCUCUUGGAAAGUUACCCGAAAUAAUUAUACGAUUAAAAAUGUAGCAGAUUGGACUGAUGAUAAGUGGCAAAAUAAUCUUUAGAAAUUUAAGAGGUAGUUCAUCAAGCCCAACAGCGUUAGAUUUUACUUCAAACAGAGCAUUUAUGACUUCAGCUUCAUCUACAAUUCGAAAAUUGAAAGAAUUCCAUUGAAAAUUCGUUUGUGAACCACAACUAGUCGUAUUAUCCUUAUAAUUUCUUAAAAAAGAUUCAUUAAUUUCAUUUGGUGUUACCGUGAUGGUUUGACGUUCUGAUGAUGAAUUAACACCUAAAGAUUUGAGUCGUUUCCAUAAGUCUUUUUGUGAUAAUUGUGGGCUGAAGUAUUCAGAAUAGUAAUUUUCUUUUGUUGUUCGGAUGAGUAGAUAAACUCUAUUCCUCAAUCUUUUGUAUAGGUUCUUAUUGUUCAGUUUGUUUGUAUUGUUCAGUAUUUUUAGCCGCUUUCCAUUGUUCAAAAGCUAUGUCUCGAUCCACCAUAGCUUUGGCAAUUGCACUGUUAAACCACGGAUUACCCGUUCGUCUAGAUCGAGCUGUCUUCAAGGGAACAAAAGAAUCAUGUAAACCAACUAUUGCUGUAUUAAAAAAAUCAGUUAAUAUAUCUGGAUCAUCAAUCUGAUAGAAGUUUAACCAACAAUCCUGUGAAACGCUUCAUUUAAAAGAUUGGCAUUUAUUUGAUUAUAGUUCCGAUAUUGAUAAGUACCAAUAGCCGGAGUUUUGGUAAAAUUUAGCGAUGCGAAUAUUGGAAAACACAGGUGCUUCCACUUGGCUGAAACGAAGCACGUUAGAUUGGUCAUUAGUUAUCAUCAAAUCCAGCUGUGAUUGACCAUUUUCGUAGAAAAAAGUUGGCUCAGUACCAAUACUAACUAAGCCAUGCGUCUCCAGAACGCUGACAAAUCUUCUAGUUUUAGCCGAACUAACAUUUAAGAGAUUCGUGUUAAAAUCUCCCAAUAAAUAUAUGUUUCCAUACAUUGUUCCAUAUUCACGCAUUAGUAAAUCUAACAAACAAGAGUCAUUGUCAGGUGGAUUGUAAAAAGCACCUACAAGUAAAUUGCAAUCAUUAACCGUAAUAUCCAAAAGCAUAAACUCAGUGUCGAUUCCCCCUGAUUCGUUUUCUGAAACUCGCAAAACUUUGAACUUAAGUUCGUUUUUAAUUAGUACUGCAAUUCCACCUCCGAUUCGACCAACUCUGUCAUGUCGAAUUAUUUGGUACCCAUGUACACAUAAAACGCUAUCACUAAUUUUCUCGCUUAGCCAUGUUUCACUAAUGCACAUGACAUCAACAUUAGACACAGAUAAAAUAUCACGCAACUCAUCUAGCUUCGUCAACUUUCUAGCACAUAAGCUCUGACUGUUGAAACAGGACAAAGAAAUUUUUCCAGGUAUUAGAGCUGAUUUCAUGACCACUCCUGGUAAACACAAAUUCGCAGAGGUGUUUUGAUUGGAAUUACUAGCCAUUAUCUAUUUGUUGAGAGACAUAUUGUCGAAAGAAACAUAAAAAGAGCACUAUCCCACCACACUUAAACAUAACAUCUCUCAUCAUAACUACAGCAAUGACGCGAAAAAAUAAAGCAGAUUUUUAAAAAUCAUUGCGGCAACAUAUGGGCACCAUAUCCCAAGUAACAGCAUAUAAUAAAGUAGCACGGUAGUUGUUUCAGCCUUCACACAUUUGCGUAACAGCAACAGCAGCAGCAUGCACAGUCCCAACAGCAGCAACCAACAGCAAGGUCCCCACCAGUAAAUACUAGUGUUUAUGUUUAACUUUCAGGAGGGGAUUCAUGGGAAUCAAUGAUGGGAUUGGAAGGAUAAGAGCUUUUAUUUGGGAAAAGGUAAUGUUGUUGAUGACUUUCAGGAAGGAUACACAGGAAAAAAUUAGGAACGGAUUGGAAGGAUUAGUAGUAGCUUUUAAGGAAAGGGUAGUUUAUUUUUCAAAAGUUGGUCCAGCAUCCCUUAGAGUUCUUUUUUGCUAGUCAAAAGACUGAAGACUGUGUGUUGCUAAGGCCUGGCCUGGUUGUCACACCAGUGGAGCAGACUGGUCCACAUAUACAUCGCCCAGAACCGUUACGUCAGGCGAACAUGAGCAAAUAAGCUAACAUACAAAAUGUGUGUAAACUCUUUCAACCGUCAUUUCGAUAAGGAAACCUAACUAGCAACCAUUUAGAGAUGGCGCAACGAUCGAACUCACAACGCUUGAGUACAAAUGACAAACGCCAAUAAUCCCUUUUAGAUAGCAAUUGCUGCAGCAAUGGGGCACAUUCGGUGUAGUACUAGAUUUGUAGUAAUGAGCUGAAUGGAAGCAAUUUAUGAAGUACUAGAUUUGAAGUAGUGAGCUGGAUUUGUGUAUGGUGAGAUGACUAAUUCUCCAUUUUUACAAUAAAAUGGGUAAAACAGCGUGGGUAUCAUGAUUUCUUACUUAAUUUGAUGCUGUUUGACCAAAGUUUGGGUUAAUGUAUUGUUGAAGUUGCAAGAAAUAAAUAAUACAACAACACAGUUCAACAACUUCAACAAGACAGUUAUCCAAACUUUUGCUCAAACAGCAUCAAAUUAGUCAAGAAAUCAUAUAACCCACGCUGUUUGCCCCAUUUCAUUGCAGAAAUGGAGAAUUGAUCAUCUCACCAUACAAAAAUCCAGCUCACUACUUUCAAUCUAGUACUUCACUGAUUGCGUCCUAUUCUCUGUUUUUUUUGUAAUAAACUGGUACAAACAGCGUGGUGCCACGUGUUUUGAGACGUAAGGACUGUAUCGUUAAUUAUGAGUACACCUUUGAGGCUCUGUAUUAAAAAGACUAUGCCUUAUUUUGACAACUGCUAUGUGUCUAUGUGUUGCUAACGUUGUAAACAAACGAUAACCUUCAUUAAAAGUUCAAGUUUUUCCUCAAGUGCAACAAUGCGAGAGUUUACGGAGGAGAAGCGAAAAUCGAUUGUGACCAGGCACUGCAAUAAAAAAUGAUCAUCGCUAAGAAAAUUAGCAAAAAAUGAAUGUGUUAGGGUUUUUGUUGUCCAAAAUGCUAUCAAACGAUUCGGUAUGCAUAACACACUGAAAGACUCACCCGGACGUGGGAAAAAAACAGGUGUGUCCAAGCCAAAUUUGGACAGCAAAAUUUGCAAAAUCGUUAAAGGAAAAUAGGAGGUAUACAUCAGAGAUUGAGCAAAAAAGUGUGGAACGUUUGUUGGUAUGGUUCAACGCGCCAAGGAGUGUAAUUCCCUGAAGACCUACACAAAACAGAAAUGUCCAAAACGCAGUCAAAUUCUGGCGAAUUGAUGAUGAUGAUGAUGGUUUCCAUUCAUUGUAGCACGGUACUAAGCCCGAUAGCAAUGGGCUGUCCAUCCAAUGUGAUUUGAUCAAGCAAAACAUUAUAAUUAUACAACCAAGAUCAUACAAUUAUAUAUAGUGCAAGCCAUCGCAUUGGAGGAUGCCCCAAUGAAUGUGAAAAAGAAGAAUCUGUCAUUCUCCACAUAAAAGUUAUAAUAAGAAGUUGGCAUCUCCACUCUUCCCAACCAUUAUGUUUCGAUUGACAGCUCUUAUUUCCCUCCACUCCCAAAAAUAGUUGUUUUAUACCAAGUGUUUUAUAACAUCAAAAAAGUAUCAUAUUAUAGUUUUCCCUCAUAACUUACCUAUUUUUCUCGUUCAUUCUUGCUAGCAACGAAUCUUACCAAGUAUCCACAAACUCCCAGGUCAAACCAAAUGUGAUGAUGAUGAUCCUUCAAUGUAAUAAACCAUUACUCAUAAUAGCAUCACAUUCCAAAUCAUCAUCAUAAAUUACUCCACUAAUUUCACAAGAAUCACAUGGAGAAUAAAUACGGUAUGAAUGUUCAAAUAAUUUCGAUUCUAAAAGCAAAUUCACAUCAUCACGCGAUCCAAAAACAAUUCUAAGCUUGUCAAUUGAGACUUUUUUAAUUUCUUUUAUAGAUUUAUACCUUUUAUAAAAUCAAUAAAACAUUAAUGGGUCUAUCUGUUUUUCCGAAAAUAAACAACGAAAGGACCCGCAAAAGUCUGUGGAUAAAUUUCUAUUCGAAAAGGCUUCACAGCAGGGGAAUCUUUAGGAGAAACAUUCGGAUUUGAUUCUCCUUCAUCUCCAUCCGUUUCCAUUGUAAAUGAAAAUUAAUGGUACGAUCGAUUAAUGGUUCCUUGACCUGAUCAAAAGUUAUGCAACAGGCUACCGUUUUCAAUUAAAUACUAUUUCUAUCACUAUUAACGAAAGAACAAAAAAGGGUAAUAAAAGGAAAGAAAAUUGAUAAAAAAUAAAUGUUACUCAACUCACGAAAACACCAACGAGAGAACUUGAAUCAGAAUGUCUUGAACACACUGCUUCAAACGUCCAAACCCUUGAAACUCGAGCCCCGUAUUCAAGAGGAGGUAUCGCUGCAAACUCCGCUUCCGAUGCAAUCGUUGCAAAUUCUUCUUCAAUCCGCAUUCUUUCAAAUUCGCCUUCAAAUUCGCAAUCCUUGGGAAAUAUCCUUCGCCGAAUCCAAAAGUAGGUUCCGCUUCACACUUCGCUCCUGAAGUACCAACUAGAAUACAUCCGUACAGUAUCGGCUCCAAUUCCGCAGUCCGCAGUCAAAUUCUGGCGAAUUAUGUGAAAACUCGGGCUUGGAAGCUGUACGACGAUAUUUUGAGCAAAAAUUUCAUGUGGAUAAUCAUGGAUGAUGAAACGUAUGUCAAAUUGGACUACAAGGCACUUCCAGGGGCACAGAUUUUCACUGUUAAGCAUGGCACGGAUGUUACGAAUUAGGAAAAAUCGUUUUUUUGCGUAAAAAUUGGAAAAAUGUGUUGGUUUGGCAAGCAGUUUGUCAAUGUGGUAUGAAAUCGUCACGUUUCUUCACCGUCCCAGGUAUGAACGUCGAAAUAUACCGGAAGGAAUGUCCCCAGAAACUUAUUCUGCCACUCAUCUGAAAGCACACAGGUCCUACAUUACUUUGGCCGGAUUUGGCAUCCUGCCACUAUGCGCGUGACACCUUUGACAGGUAUGAAGUAAACAAUGUUCAAUUUGUGGAAAAGACAAUGAAUCCUCUACAUUGCCCGCAAAUAAGGCCCGUUGAGAAAUAGUUAACUUUGAUGAAAGGGAAACUACGGAAAAAGGAUAGAGGAGCAGAGGACGUCACAAAAUUCAAGAAAAACUGGGUCAACGUUAGCAAACCAUCGUCGGCACGGUUGUCCAAAACCUUAUGAAGCACGCCAAGAAGAAAGUGCGAGAGGUGGCAAGAUCCACGAAAAAUUAAAUAUACAAUCAUGUCAUGGGCUUUUCUGAUGAUCAAUAAACAAUGUAGUUGAAUUUAAUUUACAAAAUAAAUAAAACAUUUUGAAAUACAGCAAUUUUCAGGUGUACUCAUAAUUAACGAUACAGUCUAUCGCCUGGGUUGGAUGGUAGACAAUCGCCCAAAAUGGAGAUCUAUCAAUUCGGGCCUCUGCACCACCAUGGGUGGUCAGGAUUAAAGGUAAGGAAGUCCAGAAGAAACUGUGGUCAUAAAACAUAUUCCAUUGGAUUCAUUCCUGCACCAAAUGAACCAUGUUAUUAUACGCUAGUAGAACCGGUGGUUCUCUAAGGAAACGAGACGUCAACCUUGCUCGAAGAGGACUUGCAAACUAUCGAAGUUUUCGAACAACGUAUGAUUCGGUGGUGUACAGGAGAACGAUGUGUUCUGUUAAAAAUUGAAGCACGUGCUCCCUGGCUUGUACGAUAGACCCAGUAUCUUCAAAGUAGCUAAGGCUAAACGGAUACGGUGGACAAGGUCUGUUACGAGAAUCCAAUGGAACAUUGCAGAAACAGAGAAUUUACUAUCUCACCAUACGAAAAUGAGCUCAUUUCUAUAAAUCUAGUACUCCACCAGACAUGCCCUGUUGAGUAGAAACCGAGUACAAGUUUUUGGGUACGGAUGAAAUGCUCAUAUUCGUAUCUAACAAUACAAAGGCUCAGCAGAUUCGACAUGAACUCGGGUUCUGCUCAACAGGGUAUAUCUGGUGUGCAAACAGUGCUGAAACUAUGCUUUCCUGUCUAAUUUGCUGCUGUUUGAGAAAAACUUUAGGUCACUGAACAACACAGUUCUACAUUUCUUGGCUUAUCAACAAUACAGCGACUCCAAGUUCUGCCCAAACACCAGCAAAUUGAACAAAACAUCAUAAUAGGUCGCGAUCGGUGAAGUACUAGAUUUUUAGUAAUGACCUGAAUUUUUGUAUGGUGGGAUGAUGAAUCUCCGUUUCUGCAAUAAAAUAGUUUAAAAAGCGUAGGUAUUAUGAUUCCUUGCCUAAUUUGAUAACUCCACCAGACAUGCCCUACUAAAAUUGUGUUGUCUCUUUUUAUUCGUGAAUUUUAACUUAAUAGCAAAUUCUUCACAGAUGUCAUUUUAAAAAAUAAAUUAAGAACGUGGUUUUACAAAUAUCGUUAAAUUCAUCCCAAAUACAAAAGCCAACAAUCGGAUUUGCUGACCAUCACACAAAACAUCCACUAGAAAUCGCACGGCACGAACAACAGCUGCUGCAAUCGUAAAAUCCGCCGUCAACAGCGGAAUUCGUGCCAUGAGUAAAAAAAAAACAAAACAGAAAUGAAAGGCUUCAUACGCAGAAACCAAAUUUUCAACCUUCCAAAAGUUACUCGGUAAGUAAACAUUUAGCAGGCAAUCAGCUUAUAGCUGCACGCUGCGCAGGGUUUUCGAUCAUCGGUUCCAUCGCCAUCCACCGUCACCAUCGCCGUCGUCGCCGCCGAGUCCAGUCCAGUCAGCAGUCAGCGUCGCAGAGUAGUAGUCAUUCAGCCCACCAGUUCGCCAGCAGGUUUCAAAGGAAGGAGAAAGUGCAAACAAACACACUGCUGAUUGUUGCUCGGUCGUCCAUUCAAAGAAGCGCGACCCAGGCUGAAGAGUGACUAGACCACUACUGGUAGCUUCGACAUACAACCAAUCCUCCACGAGUCGAUAUGGAUUUAUGAAAAUAUCGGCUAUAAUGGAAAAAAUGCUUUUGAAAAAUAACUGUAUUCUCUAUUUCUUGGCUGUCCAACAACACGGUUUCCCAAAGUUUGCUUAGAUAUCAAACUAGACAAGAAAUCAUAUCUACUACCUAUCCAUUGCAAAAACGUAGAAUUUAUCAUCUCACCAUACAAAAAACCAGCGCAUUACUACAAAUCUAGUACUCCACCAGACCAGCGUAAUAUAAAUUUACAUGCACUACAUGCACUGCUCAAACAGCAUCAAAUUAGGCAAGGAAUUGGCUUCUUUAGUGGUGUUGAGAAAAUUCCAUAUUCUGAAUCUGCAUGCCAAACUGAGCCGAAAUCCAAAUUUUCAUCAAUUUUGGUGCCCGGGAACCUAUUUAAAAAUCAAUUUGAAAUUUGUAUGGGAGCGAUUUGUCGAAUCACCCCUCGUCGCAUUUUGUACUGAGCGGAGCUGUCAAGCAGUUGCCCAGCUGUCAAAAGGUGAUUUCAAAAAAUUUCUUUGAAAUUGAUUUUAGAUACCAAAAUAAAGUUCUAAAAAUCUGAAAAAAAUCAUAGCGGCUCAGAAAAAGGUGCUCUUUCGUUUAAAAAAAAAAAAUCAUUGAAUGUUUCCUAAUUUAAAAACCCAAUUAUAAUACCCACGGUUUUUGCAUCAUUUUAUUACAGAAACGGUGAACUCAGCAUCUCACCAUACAAAAAUUCAUCAUAUUACUACAAAUCUAGUACAUCACCGAUCGUGCCCUAUAGUAACACCACAACAUUCGGUAUGCGGCUGCCGCUCUUUAUCCUCGCUGCGCUCCACGCCUUGUUGUACCAACCGGGUGGACAAAUACGAAUUUUUCACGCAUGUUGUCCGGCAUUCGUGCAACAUGCCCUGCCCACAGUAACGUUUCACAGAGAGCAGCAAACUCGUGGUUCAUCUUUCGCCAGCACAUACCGUUCUCCUCCACAUCACCGAAGAUCGUCCUUGUCAUGCGUACAUGCAGAUCCUCCUCGAGCAUGGUUCAUGCAUUGUGUCCGUGAAGGUCUCAUUAGCGAUUUAUAUACCAUAUGGUGUGGGGGUGAAUUUUUGAUCCUUCGUAUUUUAUUACUCACAUUGUUGUCAGCUGUCAGUAAAAAUCUGAGGUAGACGAAUCCCUCCAUUGCCUCGAAGGUAUCUCCGUCUAUGGCGACAUUUCAUCCUUGAUGAGGUAUGAGUUAUGCAUGGGUAUAUUGUAUUGGACGCAUUUACCACCAGUCCGACCUUAGCUGAUUCGCCGUUCAGCCGAGUGUCCAGGUCUGCCACCGUUCCAAAUAUUCUGGGGAUAAGCAUGAGCAUGAGAUGAGCAUGAGAUCAGGUAACUGUGUUGUUGAAGUUGCAAGAAAUGAAUAAUAGAACAACACAGUUACCCAAACUUCUCAAACAGCAGCAAAUUAGGCAAGAAAUCAUAAUACCCAUGCUGUUUGCACCAUUUCAUUGCACAAACGGGGAAUGGAUCAUCUCACUCUACACAAAUCCAGCUCGCUACUUUCAGUCUAGUACUUCCCCGACUGUUUCCUAUACGUAGAUGCUACUCCGUUACUGACAAGAACAGUCAAAAUAGCACAGGGAACGAAGAGAUGGUACCUGGUUGUAGCUUUCCAUCCUCCAUGUGCGUUUUCGAAGUUUAUCUUGUAGUACCGAUGCCGGCUACGUCCUUACGGUUAUUGGGGAAGGCAAGGAAUGUUAGUGUGCACUGAAUGAAAUUUCAAACAUCACGCAACAAUAAUGACAAUGUCGCAACCUGCAUUUGCUGCGACAUUCUACCCAGUAAGACAAAGAUUUGUUCCAACCAGUACUGAAAAAGUCAUUUCGGCAUAUUUAAAUUCUACAUCUUGUAGAACUGGUCUAGCCGCACAAGUUUUUCAUAUACCAUAUUCGCAGGUUCAGCUUCUAAAAUGAGCUGUAAGUGGUUGAAUUUAAAUAUGUCAAAAUGACAUUUUCACUGAUUCCAACUUAGAAAGAAUAGGAGGCAAUCAGUGAAGUACUAGAUUGAAAGUAGUGAGCUGGAUUUUUGUAUGGUGAGAUGAUCAAUUCUCCAUUUCUGCAACGAAAUGGUGCAAACAGCGUAGGUUAUAUGAUUUAUUGGCUAAUUUGAUGCUAUUUGAGCAAAAGUUUGAAUAACUGUGUUGUUGUAUUAUUUUUUCCUGCAACUUCAACAACACAGUUAUCCAAACUUUUGCUCAAACAGCAUCAAAUUAGUCAAUAAAUCAUAUAACCCACGCUGUUUGCACCAUUUCAUUGCAGAAAUGGAGAAUUGAUCAUCUCGCCAUACAAAAAUCCAGCUCACUACUUUCAAUCUAGUACUUCACUGAUUGCCUCCUAUUGGCCGGAAUUACAUUUUCCAGGGCGAAGAGAAGGCCUAACAGUCCGUCACCUUGUCGCAGUCCCCGGUAAGAUCUGAAUGAACUGCAUAGGUCACCAGUAACCCGUAUGCAUUUUUUGCACACCGUACAUCGUUGCUUUGAUUGGUCAGCUUCCUAGAAAAGCCGUUCUCGUCCAUGAUUUCCCAUGGCUUUGUACGAUCGGUACUGCCGUAUGUCGCCUUGAAGUCGAUGUACAGGUGAUACGUUGGAACCUGGUAUUCGCAGAACUUCUGGACGAUGUCGUAAUGUGAAAAUAUGGUUUGUUGUCGACCGACUGGGAAGUUCUCACAUUCUGAAUGGUCGACUUCCACCGUUAGUUGUUCGGUUUCUCAGAUCCUGACUAUCAAGCGAAGCAGACAAAUGACCAACUAUUUUGGGGUCAUCUGGAUUGGUUAAGCUGUGAUACCAUUACAUUGUUACCCGCUGCUUCGUUGAUUUAUAGCGUAGGAGAUGGAUCUUUCCAGACGUUUGCUGCAUUAACGUGGUCGUUUCUUCCGUUGCCCCCGUUGGUCGCCCUUGCCUACGUUCUACCAACAAUUCAGUUGCUUAUUGAAGUGCUGCUUCCAUCUUUCAAUCACCUCACGUCCGUGCUCCCGUCUUUAUUCCUGAAUAUUUCAGUACGCUUCUGUUUGUAACGUCCCAUGUUUUGUCGUGUUCCUUGCUGCAGCAUUACCGCUCGCACUGCAUUCUUCUCCUUCACAAUCGUUCUGCACUCCCCGUCGAAACAUUCGUUCCGUCGACUCCGGUUCCAUGUACCCGAUGGUGCUCUCGGCUGUGUCGUUGAUUGCUGUUUAUACUGUACUUCGACAUUCAUCAAGAGGAGGCACACCAAGUUCCCACUCGUCUGGCACCGCUGUCUCUAGAUUCUGCGCGUAUGCUGAGGCGACAUCCUAUUGCUUCAGUCGCUCUAGAUUACACCGUGGCAGUCGCCGAUACCGUACAAUGACGUUGAUAAAGAAGAGUUUUGGGACCACUUUGACUAUCUCCAGGUAGUGGACCAGAAUCUAUAUUGACGCUACGAUCAGACGUCGAAUAUGUCGGAGAAGUGCCGUCUAUCAUUCAGAACGUGCUCAAUUUGUGAUUCCGUGAUCUGCAAACCCAUAUGCAUUGGAAAUGGUGGAACCAGACUGAUGCUGGCUGCAAACAAGCUUAUUAGAAGGGAAUAGAAAUGCUAUCUACGUGAUCAUGUGGUAGUGGCCAAAUUCUUCAAAAAACAACCAGUGUCCGAAAAUCAACUACCAACUGGAAUAUGUGCGUGAUUUAUCAAGUUUAUGUGACGUUGGUUGAAACAAUCUACGCAAUUACAAAUUUAUCAAAAAUAGAUAAUCACCUUGGUAAACACACACUUGCAUUUGCAAUAUUUUGAUUGUUUUUUCCUGGAAGUUAGUAUCACAUGUAUACCCCUUUUAAUUCCGUUAUUUUUUGUUAUCAUACUCACACAUGCAAACUUGUAAAAGAAAUACAAAAAAUGAAGCAGAAAGCAAUUAUUCAUUCAUAUACAGGGUGUUAGGUUCCUGAGUGCAAACUUUUUAAAGGGUGAUAGAGGACCAUAAAUGGUGAAAAAAUUGUUCUACGCAUAUGGUCAAAUCUCAACCGUUACGUAGUUAUUGAACUUCCCACUCUUAUUGCCUUAACUGGCAAUAACUUGAAAAUGGUCAAACUUAUCGAAGUUUUUUUACCCUUACUCGAAGAAUUAUUGAAUUUUCUAUCAAAUGGCAUCUUUGAAUCGAUUGGUUUAGUUAAAUAACUAAGUUUUCUAAAGCGAAUAG